CGCCGCACUCCCUGCGAGCGCUGCUCAAGCAGUACUGCGCGCUGGCUGCCUACGAUGUGGCCAAGAGCUGAGCCAGGUGUGUAGUCUAGUAGCGACUGCGCCGACCUGUACUGCUGCGCCGCGCUCGCCGCGCAUGCGCGCUGCAGCCAGCCGUGUGGCCCGCCGCCGCACUCCCUGCGAGCGCUGCUCAAGCAGUACUGCGCGCUGGCUGCCUACGAUGUGGCCAAGAGCUGAGCCAGGUGUGUAGUCUAGUAGCGACUGCGCCGACCUGUACUGCUGCGCCGCGCUCGCCGCGCAUGCGCGCUGCAGCCAGCCGUGUGGCCCGCCGCCGCACUCCCUGCGAGCGCUGCUCAAGCAGUACUGCGCGCUGGCUGCCUACGAUGUGGCCAAGAGCUGAGCCAGGUGUGUAGUCUAGUAGCGACUGCGCCGACCUGUACUGCUGCGCCGCGCUCGCCGCGCAUGCGCGCUGCAGCCAGCCGUGUGGCCCGCCGCCGCACUCCCUGCGAGCGCUGCUCAAGCAGUACUGCGCGCUGGCUGCCUACGAUGUGGCCAAGAGCUGAGCCAGGUGUGUAGUCUAGUAGCGACUGCGCCGACCUGUACUGCUGCGCCGCGCUCGCCGCGCAUGCGCGCUGCAGCCAGCCGUGUGGCCCGCCGCCGCACUCCCUGCGAGCGCUGCUCAAGCAGUACUGCGCGCUGGCUGCCUACGAUGUGGCCAAGAGCUGAGCCAGGUGUGUAGUCUAGUAGCGACUGCGCCGACCUGUACUGCUGCGCCGCGCUCGCCGCGCAUGCGCGCUGCAGCCAGCCGUCCGGCCCGCCGCCGCACUCCCUGCGAGCGCUGCUCAAGCAGUACUGCGCGCUGGCUGCCUACGAUGUGGCCAAGAGCUGAGCCAGGUGUGUAGUCUAGUAGCGACUGCGCCGACCUGUACUGCUGCGCCGCGCUCGCCGCGCAUGCGCGCUGCAGCCAGCCGUGUGGCCCGCCGCCGCACUCCCUGCGAGCGCUGCUCAAGCAGUACUGCGCGCUGGCUGCCUACGAUGUGGCCAAGAGCUGAGCCAGGUGUGUAGUCUAGUAGCGACUGCGCCGACCUGUACUGCUGCGCCGCGCUCGCCGCGCAUGCGCGCUGCAGCCAGCCGUGUGGCCCGCCGCCGCACUCCCUGCGAGCGCUGCUCAAGCAGUACUGCGCGCUGGCUGCCUACGAUGUGGCCAAGAGCUGAGCCAGGUGUGUAGUCUAGUAGCGACUGCGCCGACCUGUACUGCUGCGCCGCGCUCGCCGCGCAUGCGCGCUGCAGCCAGCCGUGUGGCCCGCCGCCGCACUCCCUGCGAGCGCUGCUCAAGCAGUACUGCGCGCUGGCUGCCUACGAUGUGGCCAAGAGCUGAGCCAGGUGUGUAGUCUAGUAGCGACUGCGCCGACCUGUACUGCUGCGCCGCGCUCGCCGCGCAUGCGCGCUGCAGCCAGCCGUGUGGCCCGCCGCCGCACUCCCUGCGAGCGCUGCUCAAGCAGUACUGCGCGCUGGCUGCCUACGAUGUGGCCAAGAGCUGAGCCAGGUGUGUAGUCUAGUAGCGACUGCGCCGACCUGUACUGCUGCGCCGCGCUCGCCGCGCAUGCGCGCUGCAGCCAGCCGUGUGGCCCGCCGCCGCACUCCCUGCGAGCGCUGCUCAAGCAGUACUGCGCGCUGGCUGCCUACGAUGUGGCCAAGAGCUGAGCCAGGUGUGUAGUCUAGUAGCGACUGCGCCGACCUGUACUGCUGCGCCGCGCUCGCCGCGCAUGCGCGCUGCAGCCAGCCGUGUGGCCCGCCGCCGCACUCCCUGCGAGCGCUGCUCAAGCAGUACUGCGCGCUGGCUGCCUACGAUGUGGCCAAGAGCUGAGCCAGGUGUGUAGUCUAGUAGCGACUGCGCCGACCUGUACUGCUGCGCCGCGCUCGCCGCGCAUGCGCGCUGCAGCCAGCCGUGUGGCCCGCCGCCGCACUCCCUGCGAGCGCUGCUCAAGCAGUACUGCGCGCUGGCUGCCUACGAUGUGGCCAAGAGCUGAGCCAGGUGUGUAGUCUAGUAGCGACUGCGCCGACCUGUACUGCUGCGCCGCGCUCGCCGCGCAUGCGCGCUGCAGCCAGCCGUGUGGCCCGCCGCCGCACUCCCUGCGAGCGCUGCUCAAGCAGUACUGCGCGCUGGCUGCCUACGAUGUGGCCAAGAGCUGAGCCAGGUGUGUAGUCUAGUAGCGACUGCGCCGACCUGUACUGCUGCGCCGCGCUCGCCGCGCAUGCGCGCUGCAGCCAGCCGUGUGGCCCGCCGCCGCACUCCCUGCGAGCGCUGCUCAAGCAGUACUGCGCGCUGGCUGCCUACGAUGUGGCCAAGAGCUGAGCCAGGUGUGUAGUCUAGUAGCGACUGCGCCGACCUGUACUGCUGCGCCGCGCUCGCCGCGCAUGCGCGCUGCAGCCAGCCGUGUGGCCCGCCGCCGCACUCCCUGCGAGCGCUGCUCAAGCAGUACUGCGCGCUGGCUGCCUACGAUGUGGCCAAGAGCUGAGCCAGGUGUGUAGUCUAGUAGCGACUGCGCCGACCUGUACUGCUGCGCCGCGCUCGCCGCGCAUGCGCGCUGCAGCCAGCCGUGUGGCCCGCCGCCGCACUCCCUGCGAGCGCUGCUCAAGCAGUACUGCGCGCUGGCUGCCUACGAUGUGGCCAAGAGCUGAGCCAGGUGUGUAGUCUAGUAGCGACUGCGCCGACCUGUACUGCUGCGCCGCGCUCGCCGCGCAUGCGCGCUGCAGCCAGCCGUGUGGCCCGCCGCCGCACUCCCUGCGAGCGCUGCUCAAGCAGUACUGCGCGCUGGCUGCCUACGAUGUGGCCAAGAGCUGAGCCAGGUGUGUAGUCUAGUAGCGACUGCGCCGACCUGUACUGCUGCGCCGCGCUCGCCGCGCAUGCGCGCUGCAGCCAGCCGUCCGGCCCGCCGCCGCACUCCCUGCGAGCGCUGCUCAAGCAGUACUGCGCGCUGGCUGCCUACGAUGUGGCCAAGAGCUGAGCCAGGUCACCCAGUGAAAGCUCAGCCUCGGACAUUAGCAAGUGAAUACUCAGUGCGUCGCGCCCGUACGUACACAGCGUUACAUUAUGUAUAGUACCGUGUAUUCUAUCUCAUAGGAAUGUAUAAAUGGUGUAUGUUAUGUACCCGACUCGAUUCCACACUACGCAACAGUGUUUGCAGUUGUAUGUUUUUUUCUUGACUGUAUAGAAUCGAUGUCUUAAUAGUAUUGUUAUAGGCAGCUAAGUUGGCGUACUGACCAAUUAGUUUAAACCGGUUUUCUGUUAUUAGUAGACCCCGGAUUGUUGCCGCGAUGACGUCACAAUAGGGUGAUUUGGGGAGUAAAUGGAACAGUAUUAAUUAAUACGGAUUUAUUUAGAUAAGAUAAGAUAAGAAAUAUCAUAUAUUAUAGUGUUGAUGAAUACGAAAUUGUUACUUUUUUUUGUAUAUUAUUGCGAAACUUCCUAUAAAAAAUAUCGACGUUGCUCUUUCGUUAACAGACGCUCCAUAACAGAUCAAUAGUUUUUCUAAAUAACUUGCGGUUAGGCUACGUCUUCUAGUAAACAGUAGAAAUUUAAGUUUUGCAGUUAUAUACCUACCAAAAAAAUUAUAUUGAUAAAUUCACUGGGAAUUUUUUUUAUGAAAAAAUUUAGGUAUUUGGAUGUACCGUAAAUGAAAUUAUGUUUUUCUCUGGUGAAAUUAAUAUACAUUUUUAUCUUAUCUUAUAAUUUAUGUAUCAUUUUGUUCUACCUGUCCAUUUACUCCCCAAAUCACCCUAUUGUGACGUCAUCGCGACAACAAUCCGGGGUCUAGUUAUUAGACCCCUACAUAGAUGUAUGUAUGGAUGUUAGCUUUUUAAAACUGGAUCUCUGUGGUUCUUAAAAUAUA
RNAcentral lists this long non-coding RNA (3890 nucleotides) under Leguminivora glycinivorella. Its description in RNAcentral is "uncharacterized LOC125237435". The record is from RNAcentral. Lineage: Eukaryota; Metazoa; Arthropoda; Insecta; Lepidoptera; Tortricidae.